Molecule: long non-coding RNA, 681 nt
Organism: Oncorhynchus tshawytscha (Chinook salmon)
Lineage: Eukaryota; Metazoa; Chordata; Actinopteri; Salmoniformes; Salmonidae
Exons: 2
Source: RefSeq, a predicted model, not a curated record
UUCCUGGUUUCGUCAACCAAUGCCAACCAAUCAAAAUCUCACAGAAAGGUAUAUGUAUGGAUGAAGCCACAGGGUCAGUAUCAUUUAGAAAAAUGGCUGCUGUUGUCAGGGACAUGUAUGAAGGAGUAGAUUUGACUGUCGUAGGACAAAUGAAUAAGGGAAAGAAAGAAUCAUUCCUGAAAAACCUGAGAAGAAAUCAAUUAAACAAAAAUAGUGAUGUUCUCUUCAAGAUAUUUCGACAAGGCCGCUUGCAUGUACUGUUAUGCAGACCGAGCAACAGUCCUGAAAUGAUAACAUCCAUUUACAGAACGCUGCCAUCAACACAUAUGUCUGUACAGCUGACAUCCAGAAGGAUAUCGGAAAGGGAGAGAUUGGAGACAUUAUCACUUCGUGGACCGGAAAACGAAUUACAAUCCUUAUGUAAAGAUUUCCCUGCCUUGUUAAGAGCUAUGGGAAUAGGAGCUGCCAGAGUUGAGGAAUAGGAGGCUGAAAAUCAAGACGUCAAAGAAGAAGAUGAUGAUGAUGUCAUAAUACAACAUGGAUUCUCCUCUCUGAUCUGAUUUGAAAAAUAAUUUACUCCCUUUUUCUGUGUCAAAGCCAUCUGCCUGUCUUAGAAAAACAAACCAAAUCUGACCCACUGUUUCUAAUGAGCAUGUCAUAAUAAAUCAUAUUUGAUUGAGA